UCAUCUCCAAAGAAUAAGCAGCUGACUCUCCAGUCCCAGAAAGGAAGUCCCUGUGUUUCCUCGCCGGUGUCACUGUGGGCAUCGCCACACGACCGAGUCCCGACGGCUCCCCCACGGCUCUGCCACCCCGGGAGUCAGCUGCGUGAGACCAGAAGCGGAAGGAGAUCAGUUCCGUCAGCUCCAGGAGAGGGGAAGAAAAUAAAAGUUUGACAGGAAUUUAUAAAUACAGC
Molecule: long non-coding RNA, 230 nt
Filed under: Fukomys damarensis (Damara mole-rat)
Lineage: Eukaryota; Metazoa; Chordata; Mammalia; Rodentia; Bathyergidae
Description: lncRNA (ENSFDAG00000028960.1)
Source: RNAcentral